UGAGGAAUAUUGGUCAAUGGGCGGAGCCUGAACCAGCCAAGUCGCGUGAGGGAAGACGGCCCUAUGGGUUGUAAACCUCUUUUGCCGGGAGCAAAGCGCCGCACGUGUGCGGCUUGGGAGUACCGAGCAAAGCAAUCGGCUAACUGCCGUGCCAGCAGCCGCGGCUAAUACGGAGGAUGCGAGCGUUAUCCGGAUUUAUUGGGUUAAAGGUGCGUAGGCGGUCUGUUAAGUCAGCGGUAAAAUUGCGGGCUCAACCUCGCCGAGCCGUUGAAACUGGUAGACUUGAGUGGGCGAGAAGUACGCGGAAUGCGUGGUGUAGCGGUGAAAUGCAUAGAUAUCACGCAGAACUCCGAUUGCGAAGGCAGCGUACCGGCGCCCCAACUGACGCUGAAGCACGAAGGCGUGGGUAUCGAACAGGAUUAGAUACC
RNAcentral lists this ribosomal RNA (428 nucleotides) under uncultured bacterium. Its description in RNAcentral is "bacterial SSU rRNA". It matches the Rfam family "Bacterial small subunit ribosomal RNA", at positions 355 to 786 of the family's 1533-position model. The record is from RNAcentral.